CCUACGGGAGGCUGCAGUGAGGAAUAUUGGUCAAUGGACGAGAGUCUGAACCAGCCAAGUAGCGUGAAGGAUGACUGCCCUAUGGGUUGUAAACUUCUUUUAUAUGGGAAUAAAAUGUUCCACGUGUGGGAUUUUGUAUGUACCAUAUGAAUAAGGAUCGGCUAACUCCGUGCCAGCAGCCGCGAUAAUACGGAGGAUCCGAGCGUUAUCCGGAUUUAUUGGGUUUAAAGGGAGCGUAGGUGGAUUGUUAAGUCAGUUGUGAAAGUUUGCGGCUCAACCGUAAAAUUGCAGUUGAAACUGGCAGUCUUGAGUACAGUAGAGGUGGGCGGAAUUCGUGGUGUAGCGGUGAAAUGCUUAGAUAUCACGAAGAACUCCGAUUGCGAAGGCAGUUCACUGGACUGCAACUGACACUGAGGCUCGAAAGUGUGGGUAUCAAACAGGAUUAGAUACCCGAGUAGUC
Molecule: ribosomal RNA, 460 nt
Filed under: uncultured bacterium
Lineage: Bacteria
Description: partial 16S ribosomal RNA
Rfam family: Bacterial small subunit ribosomal RNA
Source: RNAcentral